This 548-nucleotide ribosomal RNA is filed under the name Streptococcus sp. oral taxon 065. RNAcentral describes it as "bacterial SSU rRNA". It matches the Rfam family "Bacterial small subunit ribosomal RNA", at positions 414 to 954 of the family's 1533-position model. The record is from RNAcentral. Lineage: Bacteria; Bacillati; Bacillota; Bacilli; Lactobacillales; Streptococcaceae.
GUUUUCGGAUCGUAAAGCUCUGUUGUAAGAGAAGAACGAGUGUGAGAGUGGAAAGUUCACACUGUGACGGUAACUUACCAGAAAGGGACGGCUAACUACGUGCCAGCAGCCGCGGUAAUACGUAGGUCCCGAGCGUUAUCCGGAUUUAUUGGGCGUAAAGCGAGCGCAGGCGGUUAGAUAAGUCUGAAGUUAAAGGCUGUGGCUUAACCAUAGUACGCUUUGGAAACUGUUUAACUUGAGUGCAGAAGGGAGAGUGGAAUUCCAUGUGUAGCGGUGAAAUGCGUAGAUAUAUGGAGGAACACCGGUGGCGAAAGCGGCUCUCUGGUCUGUAACUGACGCUGAGGCUCGAAAGCGUGGGGAGCAAACAGGAUUAGAUACCCUGGUAGUCCACGCCGUAACGAUGAGUGCUAGGUGUUGGGUCCUUUCCGGGACUCAGUGCCGCAGCUAACGCAUUAAGCACUCCGCCUGGGGAGUACGACCGCAAGGUUGAAACCUCAAAGGAAUUGACGGGGGCCCGCACAAGCGGUGGAGCAUGUGGUUUAAUUCGA